Molecule: non-coding RNA, 7539 nt
Organism: Anas platyrhynchos (mallard)
Lineage: Eukaryota; Metazoa; Chordata; Aves; Anseriformes; Anatidae
Source: RefSeq, a predicted model, not a curated record
ACAGCCCACACCUCUCCUGCAUGGCACCCUGCAAAAAGGCUGGCUGAAGGGAGGUAAACCUUGCCUCGUUAGCAGCAGGCCUUAACGAGGUAAAGGCCUACUGCAAAGGCCCUGAACCCUUCUGUGCCUCCUCCUCCCCGGCUGGUUCCUGUGCCCAGCAUGGUGGUUCUCCUGGCUAGACUGCAGGUAAGGCUGGUGGCCCCACAUGUGCAGCCCUCUCCGUGCCCUUUAUUAAUACAAAGACCUCAGAAGGCAAUCAACAACCCCAGGUGAGCUGCGGCCCCUCCUCGCCUCAGGCCUGACAUUUAAUGCAGACAUACAUUCACCUGAGGUCCCUAAUUCUUGGCUAGCCUUUGCCUGCCCGCCAUUGGGUAUGCAUAAGAUUACGUGACCCUAUUAUAAUGAAAAAUGUCUUCUGAGGCGUGUGGAAGACCAGAGAAGCAGUGAGGGAAGGCAGCAGCUUCACCUGAGUCUCCAGCAGCACUGAGCUGCUCUCAGCGGGCCUGUACCUUCCUUGCCUGGUGCUACGAGGGAAAGCAUCCAGCUGCAAAAUGCAAACCAGGCUCUUCCCCUGCUUUCACUUCUCACUGUAUUUUAUGCCUGUUGCCCUCCCAAGGGCUGUAUGUGAUGUGUAACCCCUCUCUGACUGGCACCCAGCUGUACUGGAGCAUUCUGGUCCAGCUGUAGACCAGUUCUAAGAGGCAGCUCUUGCAUUUCUCCAAAGGACCGUGGGUUUCUAAAGCCAAGUCCAAAAGGUGCCCAGACACCACAGGGAGAUGAUUCAUGAGCUCAGCUGGCUGGAUCAGCUUUGGGACCAAUGCUCUGCCUCGCCCCCAUCCCAGGAGCCACCACCUCCACACAGGACUGCCUGAACCCCACAGCCCUCAGCUGACGACAACCUGCUUGCUAAGGCCAGCUGGAGUGAACAAAAUAGCAGGUUAUUGGCCUUGUCCUGAUGACUGAAAUGCAGAUGAGGUGUGCCUUACUGCUGACCCCUGAGCACACACAACAGCAGUGACAGCAGCAAAUUUCACGGACACCCAGCUCUGAAGAAAUUGGCUCAAAUACUGCCACGGAGCCAGCGCAGCACUCUGCUUGGAGCUGUGCCUGGGGCAGGAUCUCAGCGCCCCUGAUGUGAAUAGAUAGGGAUCAGGGUUACCAAGUUAUAACACUGUGAGGAUCAGGCUGGAAAACAACCCAGCACCUGAAGGGACCAAUUUUUUUCUUUCCCAAGGCCUGAGCAGAGUGAGAAGUCGAAUGCUCUCUCCUGACACGAGACAUGGCAAUAGAAAUAUUAAAAAUAAUGCUUCUAUGAACAGUGAAACUUCAGUAGUCUAAUUUCCUGUGGCUUUGUGCUUCCUGUUUAUGUUCCUUUCAUGCCACGUGUGGUGAGGGGUGAGCUCUGAGCAGAGCUUGCUUGGGGCUCUGCACGCUCCCUGUCUGGGCUGAUGCCUGCAUCCCCUCAGUGCAGGAGCUGCCCCCCGCCUGGUAUAAGGCGAAUCACUUAUAAUCAGGCCUGCAGCUGAAUCAAGACAGUAAAGGAAUAAAACUGUUGUGUCAUCAAGCUUAAAUUUGGAAAUUAGACUCUAAUGUGGACGUGAGUGCAGGCACUGUCGCGGAACAGCAACCUAUCUGUGUGCAAGGGCGCUGCACCAGACGGGAGCAAAACAGGCACAGACCCCUGGAGCGCCAGGAUGGGAUCUGGAGAAGUGUAAAAGUGAAGAGGCAAGUUUCUGCUGUCCCAGGCCCAUUGUUCUGGCUGUGUCUCAAUCUAUGCAUGGCUGAAACGAUAGCAGCGGAGUUCACCAUUUACCUCCUUCCUGAAACAGAGGAUCGUUUGUGUGGCCGCCCUGCCAAGCAUUGCGGAGCACUCCAAACACCGAUGGCAGACGUAAGCAGACUCAAUCGCAGGUGCCGCCCAUUUCCAGGCUGCUUUCACUUGAAGCCUUUGAGGUCUAGAUGAAAGGCGAGCACGGCCAGAGCAGCACCGGCACAACGGGCCUGCUGACAUCCCUCGGGGGUGUUAGCAGGAAAAUGGAAAACCUGCAACUCAGAGCUAACGUGAUUAGAGACCGACAGAGCUCCUCUGUGCUGCUGGUGAGGCAGGGAAAAUAUCCAAAAAAAGAGAGGAAAAGAGUUGGGUCAGGUUUGCAGAGGUGGGGAAAGAGUAGAGGGACGAAGAUGCUCGCCUAUUUCUGGUGUUGCUAUGGUUCGUGCAGCUGUUUGCAAUAAACACAGCAAGGGAGAUGGUCCCAGGCUAAAAGGAGCCCAGUGAUGAUGGAAGCUCAGGAAGCCCUCCAAGUUCUGUGGCUUUUGUCCUCUGAGCCUUUCCUUCAAGCUAGCAAAACAAACAGCAGCCUUGCACAUGAGCAGCAGCAUCUGAGGGCUGGUGGGAAGCCAGAGAAGAAGGACAAGGGCACAGGGCUCACAGGGUGGUGGGGUGCCUUUCACCAGCACCACCAAUAACACAAGGAAGAGGGGCAGCUCUGAGCAACCUGCCUUCUUUUGCCUUUGUCACGUCCUCAGUUAGUCAUGAAUAACACAACACAGUCUGUGACUUUGGGGGUAAAAAACACGUUACUUGGCCUUGGCCUUCUCUUUGGUUGGUGGCUGUGCUGGGAGAUCAAGGGGCAGAAGAGCUACGGUGAAGCUAGUGAAGCUAGAGUGUGAGUGAAGGGGUGGGGGGACAGGCCAGGCAACGGAGCUCUUCUCAGAGCUACCCUCCCUGCCCAUUCCCCUUCACAUCUGAAUCCGUGGGGCACAGCAGCCUGUGGCUUUGGCCCAGGGAUGUGGGGAGCAGUGGCACAGCUGGACAGGGUGGGAUGCUCCGUGCCACCACCAUCCUGAGACGCCUGGGGACACCGGCCAUGAACAUGGGCUUUAAGGAGAUGCUUUUGGAGCAGCUUGGAGCAGUGGUGAUGUUGCUGCUGAGAAGGAUGGGAGCUAAAAAUCACCACAAACGGCUGUGGAUUCCUGCUUCAGGGCCUGAGAGGGAUGGGGUGCUGGCAGGGCAGCUGGAGAGCUUGGCUUCACAGACAGAACACCCCAGGUUGGGGAGAGAGCAGGGACAGGUGAAUAAAAACCUGAAAUACGGAUCGGAAAGAGAAGAGGAAGCUUGCAGGAGCCUCACCAGCAUAGCUGCUAAUAGCUUUUGUGUAAAUGUUAUUUGCAAGUAUUCCACAAACUAUUUAUGACUGUUUUAUGUGCGCUAAGUGUUUGCUCGCCAAGAAAUGACACAUUACCCUUUCUUUGAAGCUGACUGGGAAUUAUUACCACCUGCUUAUCAGGCUUUUACAUAUCUAGCCCAAGGUACAAUGCUAUAAUGCUUUCCAGCAAAGAGAACUCUUGACUCCGCAGCCAGAUCCGCUCCAAAAGCGAAAUGGUGGUGUGGGAGCAGAAGAAAUGCAAGAAAAUUAUACAUAAUUACUUUUCCUCCAGCUCUUUUAUGCAGGGAACAGGUGACUCAGCAUUCCCAUAAAGCUACCUUAAUGGGAGAGGAGGAGCUCUGUCUUGAACUGGCAGCUGUCCGCCCUUGCCUUUGCUUCUGAUAUCUGCCUACUAAAACUUACCUUCAGGGCCGGUUGUUGCUUAUCAGCACAGUAACAUGCAUACUUGUGGAGUGCUCCUUUCUUCUUUCAUUAAAAGGAGGAUUUCCCACCCCACAUGCAAUUAUUUAAAGCAAGGUGCAAAUAGGCAAAUAAUAACCACAAGCAUCUGAGCUUUUUUUUUUUUUUCCCCCCCAAAAAUAAUCCCACUAAUUUAUUCUACUAGUGAUGUCUAGCUGGGUUCACAGGUCCAGCUGCUGUGCCAUGUCUUAUAGAGCUAAGGAAGCAAGCCUGCCCCUGUUUGCUGUCUCCUUGUUUUACGUGACUGAAGUAGCUGCUUUCUGGUUGCUGUUGUUUGUUUCUCUAAGGUACUGAAAACACACGGACAAAUAUAACGUGACACUGGAGCACCACUGCAUAGAGCAAUAUUGCUAUUUGCAGCACUGCACAAGAGCGGGGAUCCUGAAAAAGCAGGGCACAUUUGUGCCAGGCACUGUAAAACUGACCAAGACGAGACUGCUCAGCAGGUGAAGCACACCAUGAGCCUGAGUUCUGCGCUGCACGGUGCUAAUUAAAUUAGCCCAUUCAAAACAAAGCUCCCACUCAUAUUUGCUAUUAAUAGCCAACAGUUUUCCUCCUCUGUCCCCUCCCACAACCUCUCUCUCUUCCAGUGAUAAAGCAACCCUACGUGGGGGGCUGAGAGCUCUCGCACACCAACAGGAGGAGUUCAGCACCUCGCCGGCUGGCUCACUGCCACCUUCCCCAGGAUGCUUUCCCCGUAAGCCCACCCCGUCGGUGAUGGCAAAUUCUGGGAACAGGUGGUUUGAAGUUGGUGUUGGGUCUUGUUCAUCCUCUGACACUGGUUUUCUGCUCGCCCCUUGUAUCCCUCCUCCGAAGGAGUCUCUCCUUGGCUGUGCCGGCUUAGCAAACCUGAGAACAGGGCAACGGUCAGAGCGACAGAAAUGACUUGGCAAAGGAGAAGUGCAGCAUGAUGGGCUUCAGGAGAGAUGAGUCACCAGCGAUCUGCACUCCAGAAACAGCUCACCAGAGCCAGCUGCUGCGUUUCAGAAGACGAUCUUACUGGACUCUGCAGGCUAGCAACAAAGGUGCAGGAGGGGAGCUCAGCUUCAGCUAUUUCAGCGCAUGCAGGAGCCGAUGCAUCUGCUUGUGCCUGGGGAAGACGGACAGUCCUGGGAUGUGGAGGCUCUCCAGAGGUCAGCCUUGCUGCUUUGGAGAUGCACAGGCAGUCAGCAGGCCUUGCUACUCUCCCAUUGAUCAUUAAGCACUGACUAGAAAAGACAAAAUAGCCAAAGCUUCAAAGAGGGUUCUCACUUGGAAAUGGCCCUGUAACUCUCAGUGACCAUUUUUACUUAAGGUAGAAGAGCCUAAAAUUAAAUGUUUAUAAUUGGAUCCUUUAUUUAUUUAUUAUUUAUUUAAGGGUCACAUUUGGCCAUCACCCAGUCUGUGUUGCAGUGUGGGGACCGCACCAAGGAGGAAAGGCUCGAGCUGUAUUUAAGCAGCCCCACAGACGUGUGGCCUCCGAGGCUGCUGCGGGCAUGGAGCACUGCCUGGCUUGCCAUCAGGAGGCAGCCUGAGCUGGGAUGCUGCUCCAUGUUGCUUCUGGCACCCUUUCUCCUUUAACACAGCCUGGGCUCCCACUUGUACCAGACAGAGGCCAGAAAUGGGCUAAAAAGACUUGGAAGUCUUCUCUCUGUGCCGGUGGGGUAGGAGCUGGUGGGGCGACGGCCCAUGCUGCUGCUCUGUGAGGCUGGUGAGGGAAUAGGUCUGGUGAGCCCUUCUGUGAUGCGUGCCCCAGGAAAGAGUUCCUUAUACAUGAAAAUCCACUACAAACAGAAAGCGAAAAGAGAGAAAAAAAAAAUCUCUUCCCCGUCAACAAAGAGAAUUGGCCUGAUUUUAAUAACAAAUAAGUUUUGAAUCCAUUAAAUCAAAGCCUGUGUUUACACAUGAUGUGAAGCAUAGCUCUUAAUAUCUCAUCAUCUUCUGGAAGAAAAGAAUUUGUUCUGCUUUGUCAAACCAGCAGACAAUGCAUCACUUAUCUUUUUAUUCUACCUUGGUUUCACUGGGAAAAAUGCCACAAAAGCUUCCACUUGGGUGAAAUGCGCUACUACAGACGGGGUGAGCGGGACCAGUUUCAGGUAGGAUCUACUGAAGCAGCCUGGCUGCAGUCCAUGCUUUCUCUGCCAAGCUCCGCUUCAGCCCUGAAAUGUCAAGAUGCUGUACCUGUUUUUAAAGAACUGCUUUCCUCCCUAAAACUUGCUCUAUGAGCCAAGAGACACGACUGAGUAAAAAAGAAAAAACUCCCUGUUUUCCCCCUUCCCCCCUGUUAAAGGAACAAAACUGGGCACAAGCUGGAACGUGAGCUUCUGUCUAAACACCAGGCAGCACUAUGGUGCUGUGCAGGUGAUGGAGCACGGGCACAGGUUGCCCAAACUUGUGGGGUCUCCCUCCUUGGAAAUCUUCCAAAGCCACCUGGACGCGGCCCUGGGCAAGCAGCUCCGGGUGGCCCUGCCUGAGCAGAGGGGCUCCAGAGGGCCCUGCCAGCCUCAGCCAUCCUGCAAUCCUGUUAAACCUGUCAAAGGGCAUUAUUUUGGCUCUUUCAGACAGAAUCCCCUAAUGGCUAGAUAAGGCAGCACCUCAGUGAGGGCACCUCAGUUACAGAAAGUGUGAGAGGCUUUGUGUUGCAGUGGAAAAGUUUUAUUUUCACAUUGGUCUUUUUUUUCCUUUCUCCUUUCUCUUACGCAGUAUUGGCACGCUUUGAGAACUGCACACGCUGCUGGCUAGAGAAGACAGUGUGUUUACAGUGUUGAUUAAAAAUAUCUUACUCAGAGCACUUUCUUUAGAUAAUUCAGACAUUCCUGUUCUGAAGUCACCCUGAAACAUACUUGCGCAAUCCUAAAAUAGCAAAAGAUUUUUCCAUCUUGGAAUGGUCUUCUGUAAUUAUGACUGUAAUUAUUACCAAUAAAAACAAAACAAUGCUCCAAUCAUCUACUUUUUUAGCAAUCAGGAGAUGAGCACAGCUGAAAACUAGGAGAGCUGAGGAGCACUCUGUAAUAUAGACACCCUGCUAAGACUCUCGGGGCAGGUCUCACCAGCAUAACCUAGCUGAAGACAAAGACGUCACAUGGAUGAGUUUGUACAGAAAUGCCUUAAAAACCUCUCUCUGUGCUGUGAAUCGUGCUGGGGUGGUGCUGCUGGCAUACGGUACUGCUGCUGUCAGCGGGUUCCUGCUGUAGCUGCCUGGGGGCUGCUCACGCCAUGUGUCCAUCCCCUCAGAUGGCAAUGACAGAGCCCCACCAGGAACAGGCAGGGGACUACAUCCCAGCUCGUGGAAACAUCCUGAGCAAGCUGCAUGCCACCCCACAGUCAGGGGAGCAUGAAAAAAAAAAAAAAUUAAAAAAAAAUAAAAAAUGAGGAAAGACCACAGAAAGGCUGAGUUAAGGAAUCCAGGCAAAAUCAAGGCAGGGAGGGUGAAUGGAGAGACUUUCCUCCACCCAUGUUCUUGUGUGCGCACAUAACUUCAGGCAUGUGAGGAAUCCCUCUGGGCCCGGUAGGAACUGUUCAUAUCCUUACACUUAAGCCCACGCUGGAGUAUGUGCUCAGGUGGCACUUCAACGAGUUAGUCUUUUUUCAUGCAGUUGUUGGGCAACACAAGAAGAAAAGCAGAUGUCUCUCCAGGUGCAUGCUGAGCUGUGCGAUGAUUUCCGAAGUCUUCCUGAUGGCCACUGCUGGGCCUGUCCCCCUUCUGAUGCCAAGGCUGGGACUGCAAUGAAAUCAACCAGGGAGCACCCUGCCAGCUCCAUCCUUCUGUCCCUGGUGAAACUUUAUUUUCUGUUAAUUUUAACACGGUCAUAAACACUUGUAGAACACUGCAGAAACACCAAAGACCAGACAGUCCUUUUAUUUGUGACAGUAUAAACACCAAGUAAAUAAAUAAAAAAACACCCAAUGAAUAAAGCUGAUCUCAGAGAAUAAA